This 657-nucleotide ribosomal RNA is filed under the name uncultured Flavobacterium sp. RNAcentral describes it as "bacterial SSU rRNA". It matches the Rfam family "Bacterial small subunit ribosomal RNA", at positions 47 to 706 of the family's 1533-position model. The record is from RNAcentral. Lineage: Bacteria; Pseudomonadati; Bacteroidota; Flavobacteriia; Flavobacteriales; Flavobacteriaceae.
CUUAACACAUGCAAGUCGAGGGGUAUAGGUUUUCGGACCUAGAGACCGGCGCACGGGUGCGUAACGCGUAUGUAAUCUACCUUUUACAGGGGGAUAGCCCAGAGAAAUUUGGAUUAAUACCCCAUAGUAUUAUUGAAUGGCAUCAUUUAAUAAUUAAAGUUCCAACGGUAAAAGAUGAGCAUGCGUCCCAUUAGCUAGAUGGUAAGGUAACGGCUUACCAUGGCGACGAUGGGUAGGGGUCCUGAGAGGGAGAUCCCCCACACUGGUACUGAGACACGGACCAGACUCCUACGGGAGGCAGCAGUGAGGAAUAUUGGUCAAUGGGCGCAAGCCUGAACCAGCCAUGCCGCGUGCAGGAUGACGGUCCUAUGGAUUGUAAACUGCUUUUGUACGGGAAGAAACACUCCUACGUGUAGGAACUUGACGGUACCGUAAGAAUAAGGAUCGGCUAACUCCGUGCCAGCAGCCGCGGUAAUACGGAGGAUCCAAGCGUUAUCCGGAAUCAUUGGGUUUAAAGGGUCCGUAGCGGUUUUGUAAGUCAGUGGUGAAAGCCCAUCGCUCAACGGUGGAACGGCCAUUGAUACUGCAGAACUUGAAUUACUAGGAAGUAACUAGAAUAUGUAGUGUAGCGGUGAAAUGCUUAGAUAUUACAUGGAA